Daktulosphaira vitifoliae (grape phylloxera) is the source of this 2238-nucleotide long non-coding RNA. RefSeq lists it as uncharacterized. The record is from RefSeq and is a predicted model, not a curated record. NCBI's taxonomy places the organism in Eukaryota, Metazoa, Arthropoda, Insecta, Hemiptera, Phylloxeridae. The transcript is spliced from 7 exons.
AUUGAGGAGUUAAAAUAAUUAAAAUAAUUAAAUCAUGUUAACUUUGCCAUUGUUAUAAGUUAUGUUGAACAUUUAAUGAAUAUUAGUUAAGCAUUAGAAAUAUUUAGUUCUAAUACAAUUAUUGUUAUAUCAAAACGCUUGUUGAUAUUCCAUUUAAAAUAUUACAAAAGGUUAUUUUUAGAAUGGUGAAUAAGCGAUAAUCACUGAUAAUAAAUAUUCACCUGACAAAACAUCACUGUAAACAUAAUAUUACAUGUUCUCUAACCUAGAAUUUGUAAAUUAAUUUAAACUUAAAAUCAUGAUUUCCUAUUUUGUUUGCUUUGUUAAUUUGGGGCGUAAUCAUAUAAGUUUAAGUAUUAUAAUUUUUAAAAUGUGGUAAUACAGCAGUUUUACUUUAGUCUUUAGUUUUACUUUACUGGAAAUCAGUACUAACUUUAUUAAGGUUCUUAUAUAUCAUUAACUUGUACAUUUUUUAAAUUAUAGUAUUCAACUAUUGCUUUUAGUUGUUUUGGCUGUUACAUUUUUAUUCUAAAUACAAAUAGGUGAUUUUUAAAUAAUUAUAGCUGUCAUAUGACAGAGUAUAAAAAUUUGGAUGGAAUUAUCAAUGUAGGAAGUGUUUUAAAUAGUAAUAAAAGUGAUGAUAGUGUAAAUGUGCAAACUAAUUCUAAUAAAUUUUCUUCAUAUUCAUCUCUAACUGAAUCAAAUUUCAAGUAUGGUACUUUGCAGUCUAUUAUGAGCUUGAUGUAUUCAACUAAUGAUGGUCGUUUUAUUUUGACUGAUGCAAAAGUAAACCAUGAACAUUUAUCUAAUGAUGCUCAAAAUACACUUACGAGACCUAAUAAAUUAUUUAUUUAAAGACAAAGCUAGGGGAACUGAUUUUUAAUUUCGGAAAAUUUCUUCAAUUGUCAUUGAAUUACUUCCAAAAAAAACAAGAAAAAGUAUAUUUUAUACUAUCAAGUCAAAAUAAUUCCAUGCAAAAGAAGAAUUAGUGAAACAUUGACAAAAUUGUGUACGCCAGUUUUGGAGCAUAGGUGCUAUUGAAAGUAAACGAAAAAAUAAAAACUUCUCUGAAACAUUACCAAUUUUAACAUUUUCUGAUGAAGCUGAAUCAGCAAAAGUUUGGUUAAGCACAAUUGGGUUUUUUCUAACUUUGAUGAGAUUAAAAAACAAUGGAAAUAAGAAUGGCUGGAAUUCGAGGUUUAAAAUAGCAUUACUGGUCGUCAUUUGUCUAAACAUUUUAAAUCAUGGCCUAUUUUAUGUAGUCCUAAAGGAUAUAAUCUGGUUUUUUGAAGAUUUUUUUAUGAAAUAUCCAGAAACAAAAAACUAUUAACAUAAUUGGCUAAACUUUAUUAAAAAGUGGAUUUUGUUUUCAAAUAACUUAUUGAGCUUACAUAGAAAUUUAGUGAAAGAUAAUUAUGCUAAUGACUUAUUAAAACAACUUGAUACUAUACAACUGAAUGGUAUGAUUUAAUUAAGAAAAUUACUUUGGUUAAUGAUUAAUAAUAACUUUUAGAUUUUGAACUAAAAUAAACCAAUAUUUUUAUUUUUUGUUUAAUUAAGUAGUGCAUGAUAAGUGAGUCACUUUAGUUCAUCUAUUUUAACAUGUAAAAUUUAAAUGUAUGAAUCUCCAAAAUCUAUUUUAAAUUAUUAGUUGUAUAUUUUAGUUGUUAUUACUAUUUUAAUUUUUGAUACAAAUCAUAUUUAAAUUAAUUUUUAUUUAGAUACUAGAACAAGCUACGCAUUGAAACUUCUAUUGAUUCCAUAUCUAGUACUAACUAAAUUUCAAAUGAAAACAAACAAAAAGUCUGGAAAAUCAUCGCUAGUUGAAUGUGUUUCAUCUUUUGUUAUAAAUGUUUCAGUAGGUUAUUAUUAUAAAUAUAUGAAUAGAUGCACACCUUUAAGUUCCUAAUUCAUUAAGUAUUUUAGUUUAUAUAAACUUAAACUUGUGUCACAUUUAUAUGUUGUAUUGAAAUUAUUUAUAUAAAUAUUCAUUUUCAAAAUUUAAAUGAUUCAGAAUUUAAAAUAAUUUACCUGACUUAACUCCAACUAUUAAAAGAGUUUAGGGUACUGGUAAAAUCUACGAGACUCUUAAAUAUAUUUUAUAACUGUUAUAUAGUUGUAUAUUUAAAAAUGUAUAUCUUAUUGUUUAUUAAUAAUAUACAGUAUGACAUUAACUUAAUUUUAUUGUAAUUAAUUUGUGAAUGUAUUUUGUACUUACAAUUUUAACAAAGUAAAUGA